Molecule: ribosomal RNA, 426 nt
Filed under: Vibrio sp. R-642
Lineage: Bacteria; Pseudomonadati; Pseudomonadota; Gammaproteobacteria; Vibrionales; Vibrionaceae
Description: bacterial SSU rRNA
Rfam family: Bacterial small subunit ribosomal RNA
Source: RNAcentral
UAAUGGCUCACCAAGGCGACGAUCCCUAGCUGGUCUGAGAGGAUGAUCAGCCACACUGGAACUGAGACACGGUCCAGACUCCUACGGGAGGCAGCAGUGGGGAAUAUUGCACAAUGGGCGCAAGCCUGAUGCAGCCAUGCCGCGUGUGUGAAGAAGGCCUUCGGGUUGUAAAGCACUUUCAGUCGUGAGGAAGGUGGUAUUGUUAAUAGCANNAUCAUUUGACGUUAGCGACAGAAGAAGCACCGGCUAACUCCGUGCCAGCAGCCGCGGUAAUACGGAGGGUGCGAGCGUUAAUCGGAAUUACUGGGCGUAAAGCGCAUGCAGGUGGUUUGUUAAGUCAGAUGUGAAAGCCCGGGGCUCAACCUCGGAAUAGCAUUUGAAACUGGCAGACUAGAGUACUGUAGAGGGGGGUAGAAUUUCAGGUGU